UUUUUUUAAUAUUUUUAAGCGCUUUUUCAAUGCUUUUUUGUCGUUUUCGAGUGCUUUUUUGUAGAUUUCAAGAGUAUAUAAAUCCGGCCUUUAUAAUUAUAACUUUUCAUAGAUAGUUUGGCGAUCUCUUUUGUUUCCUCGUUUUCUCUUCUACGCCAGAUAUUAAGUGUGUUAUCGAUUGCUGGUCCGCGUGUUCUCGCUGCUACAAAUUGUUCUGUACUUUGUUAUCAAAGCUUCUCAGUUUCUAUUCAACCGGCACUGUUACAGACCAUACUUCACGAACUUCAAGAACAUUGUAUAAUAUUUAUAUGGUUAGUUUACAAUAUUAUUUUAUAUUAUUUAUUAUGUCAAUAAUAACACGGUAUUAUUGUUAUCAUACUAUCGCU
This is a non-coding RNA of Cinara cedri, 386 nucleotides long. NCBI's taxonomy places the organism in Eukaryota, Metazoa, Arthropoda, Insecta, Hemiptera, Aphididae. The record is from the annotation of a GenBank genome assembly.